Long non-coding RNA from Micropterus salmoides (largemouth bass), 986 nucleotides. RefSeq lists it as uncharacterized. The record is from RefSeq and is a predicted model, not a curated record. NCBI's taxonomy places the organism in Eukaryota, Metazoa, Chordata, Actinopteri, Centrarchiformes, Centrarchidae. The transcript is spliced from 2 exons.
AGAGACAUGCAACUCUUUGUCUCUGUAUGUCAUUCAGGACACGGACAAGGAAAACUUGCUAUUUUCUUUAAACAGCAUCCCCUGCUCAAACUCACUCUUCAUUUUACAAUGUUGGAUAGAUUUAAUUUAAUGCUACGUUCUAACACUUCUGUGUAUUAUGUGCAUUAUAUCAGUCUCACUGUAGUGUUGAACUGUUGUGAAAUUGGGUUCAUGUAGGCACGAAUAAGACUUUUGCCAAAGUGGCAGUAUGAUCACCUACCCUUAUGCAAUCCAGCUGAGGCUUUCACAGACAUGUUUCACAUACACAAAUUUAGAGAUGCAGCAACCUAGCUUUUCUCUCCAGAUACCUCAACUCAAGGUAUCUGCUGAUACCAAUUUUCCUAUCUGAUACCAGUGUUCUCUUGUUAAUGUUAAAUCUUGCCCUACAAUUUGAAUCACCAUCCUGCCAUUGAAUGGUAGGGGAAACAGUGACUUUAAUAAUGAUAUGGAUGAAGAAACUGUGCACGGAUAUCUGGCAAUUGCUUAGUGCCAAUACAGAUCAGCGUUGGAUUACCAACUGGCAAAGCAGACAUCCACCUGGAGCCCCAGACCCCCACGGGCCCCAAAAGCCCCAGCUUCACUGUGAAUUGAUUUUAAGUAAUUUGAUAAAAUACAAAUGUAAUCAGUGAAUUUGCUGCACUGUAGUCAUUAUCAAGUAAGGUGGAUCCUACAUUAAGACCUUGUGUCGUGGCUCUACAUUGUAGAAAGUCUAAAAGACUUUUAUUUUUGAUUACCUCGCACUAUGCAUAUGCCUAAAUAAAAGGUGAUGGUGGCGGUCGAUAGGGGCCACCUCAUAGAUUAAUCCAACCGUGACAAAAUCCUUUCAUGACUUCGACUCUUCCUGUUUUAUUAGCUGCUCACUUUAUUGCAGUGGCAAAUAGUGGGUCUGUGUUCAUGGAGCUUUGUAAUGUUAUUCCUUAGACUGAAUAAAAAAUAUUCUGUCGGUG